This 211-nucleotide unclassified non-coding RNA is filed under the name Hevea brasiliensis (rubber tree). The record is from RNAcentral. Lineage: Eukaryota; Viridiplantae; Streptophyta; Magnoliopsida; Malpighiales; Euphorbiaceae.
UAAUUUUGAAUUACAUAUGAUUCCCUGAGAAUUUGUGCACAUUUGCAAGUAAAUGUUUACUUAAACACUAUUUAAACAUAGAUUAUUUAGCAAGAAAGCAAGAAAGAUUUGAAAAAUCCUUAUCUUUGCUGGACCCCAAUAUAAUUCAAGUGUACUAUUAGGGACCCAAAAGCGAAACAAGAAAUUUUUAGCUGAUAGUACCACAUGGAAG